RNAcentral lists this ribosomal RNA (95 nucleotides) under uncultured bacterium. Its description in RNAcentral is "partial 16S ribosomal RNA". The record is from RNAcentral.
CGACGCCGCGUGGGGAGUGAAGGCCUUCGGUUGUAACCCUUCACCAGGAGCGAAUUCAGACGGUACCUGGGAAGAAGCGCCGGCUAACUACGUGC